Molecule: unclassified non-coding RNA, 273 nt
Filed under: uncultured Ascomycota
Lineage: Eukaryota; Fungi; Ascomycota
Description: sequence contains 5.8S rRNA gene, ITS2, 28S rRNA gene
Source: RNAcentral
AACGCAUAUUGCGCCCUUUGGUAUUCCGAGGGGCAUGCCUGUCCGAGCGUCAUUAAUCAUAAUCAAGCGCGGCUUGUUGUUGAGCCUUUGUCCCCCCCUUCUUUUGUUUGAGGGGACAGGCUUGAAAUUCAGUGGCGAUCGCUGAGAUUGUUGCUAGAGUGUAUAGGGCUCCGUCACACACUCUUGGUGGCUUCAGCUCGCAUUCUGCCAUACCUAAGAUAAAUUUUCGGUCUGAUUGACCUCGGAUCAGGUAGGAAAACCCGCUGAACUUAA